RNAcentral lists this non-coding RNA (504 nucleotides) under Ustilaginoidea virens. Its description in RNAcentral is "Eukaryotic small subunit ribosomal RNA". It matches the Rfam family "Eukaryotic small subunit ribosomal RNA", at positions 606 to 1116 of the family's 1831-position model. Lineage: Eukaryota; Fungi; Ascomycota; Sordariomycetes; Hypocreales; Clavicipitaceae. The record is from Rfam by way of RNAcentral.
AAAGUUAUUAUAGUUAAAAAGCUUAUAGUUAAACUUUAGGCCUAGCUAGCCGGUCUGCCUUAUUAUAUAUACUAGUCUAGCUAGGCCUUUCCUUCUAUAGAACCUUAUACCUUUUAUUAGGUAUAGUAGGGAAAUAAGACUUUUACUUUAAAAAAAUUAGAGUGCUCUAGGUAGGCCUAUACUUAAAUAUAUUAGUAUAGAAUAAUAAAAUAAGAUAUAUAGUUCUAUUUUAUUAGUUUUUAAGACCGCCGUAAUAAUUAAUAGGGAUAAUCGGGGGCAUUAGUAUUUAAUUAUUAAAGGUGAAAUUCUUAGAUUUAUUAAAGACUAAUUACUGUAAAAGCAUUUACUAAGGAUAUUUUUAUUAAUUAGGAAUAAAAGUUAGGGGAUCGAAGACGAUUAAAUACCGUUAUAAUCUUAACUAUAAAUUAUACCGAUUAGGGAUUAAAUAAUAUUAUUUUUUAACUUAUUUAGUACCUUAUGAGAAAUUAAAGUAUUUAGGCUUUA